Non-coding RNA from Schistosoma mansoni, 48 nucleotides. The record is from Rfam. Lineage: Eukaryota; Metazoa; Platyhelminthes; Trematoda; Strigeidida; Schistosomatidae.
AUUCAGUUGACCAGUCUCAAAUAGGACGAAACGCGAGUCAAAAUGGAU